GGCUUUGUAGCUCAGUUGAUAAAGCGCUUGCCGCUUUGAUACAUGGUAUUUCUGUCGCUGGUUAGACUCCAGCCGAAGCUC
Molecule: non-coding RNA, 81 nt
Organism: Paragonimus skrjabini miyazakii
Lineage: Eukaryota; Metazoa; Platyhelminthes; Trematoda; Plagiorchiida; Troglotrematidae
Source: the annotation of a GenBank genome assembly